CCUUCCCACCUAAACAAGCCAACCAAAAUUCCCAUGUAAUGGACUAGGAGCCACUUAAAGGAGGUACAGCUCCUUUAACAAAGAACACAACCUCCACCAGCGGAUAAGACUCCACCCACUAUACUACCUGUAGGCCUUAAAGCAGCCACCACCAAAGAGUGCGUCAAAGCUCCAAACCAAAAAUCCAAAAACAACACGAAUCCCUACUCCCCAAACAGGCCAAUCUAUAACAAUAGAUGAAUUAAUGCUAAAACGAGUAACUAGGAUACCACAUCCCCUUAAGCGCCAGCUCACACACCAUUAACAGCACAACCACAAUACCACCACUCGACUAAACAUUGCAUACACCCUGUCAACCCAACACCAGGAGCGCACACUAGGACGAUCAAAACCUGCAAAAGGAACUCGGCAAACCCAAGGCCCGACUGUUUACCAAAAACAUAGCCUUCAGCCAAACAAGUAUUGAAGGUGAUGCCUGCCCAGUGACACUACGUUCAACGGCCGCGGUAUCCUAACCGUGCAAAGGUAGCGCAAUCAAUUGUCCCAUAAAUCGAGACUUGUAUGAACGGCUAAACGAGGCCCUAACUGUCUCUUGCAGGUAAUCAGUGAAACUGAUCCCCCUGUACAAAAGCAGGAAUAAACACAUAAGACAAGAAGACCCUGUGGAACUUCAAAAUCAAUAGCCACCACAUACUUCCCCCCAAACCCACUAGGCCCACUAUCCAAAACACUGGCUAAUAUUUUUAGGUUGGGGCGACCCUGGAGAAAAACAAACCCUCCAAAAACAAGGCCAAAUCCCUUAACCAAGAGCAACCCCUCAAAGUACUAACAGCACCCAGACCCAAUAAAAUUGACCAAUGAACCAAGCUACCCCAGGGAUAACAGCGCAAUCUCCCCCAAGAGCCCAUAUCGACGAGGAGGUUUACGACCUCGAUGUUGGAUCAGGACAUCCUAGUGGUGCAACCGCUACUAAGGGUUCGUUUGUUCAACGAUUAACAGUCCUACGUGAUCUGA
RNAcentral lists this ribosomal RNA (1014 nucleotides) under Eclectus roratus (Eclectus parrot). RNAcentral's name for it is "partial 16S ribosomal RNA". It matches the Rfam family "Bacterial large subunit ribosomal RNA", at positions 931 to 2608 of the family's 2925-position model. Lineage: Eukaryota; Metazoa; Chordata; Aves; Psittaciformes; Psittacidae. The record is from RNAcentral.